This 442-nucleotide ribosomal RNA is filed under the name uncultured bacterium. Its description in RNAcentral is "partial 16S ribosomal RNA". It matches the Rfam family "Bacterial small subunit ribosomal RNA", at positions 338 to 795 of the family's 1533-position model. The record is from RNAcentral.
CCUACGGGCGGCAGCAGUGGGGAAUAUUGGUCAAUGGGCGCAAGCCUGACCCAGCAACGCCGCGUGAAGGAAGAAGGCUUUCGGGUUGUAAACUUCUUUUAAGAGGGAAGAGUAGAAGACGGUACCUCUUGAAUAAGCGACGGCUAACUACGUGCCAGCAGCCGCGGUAAUACGGAGGUGGCAAGCGUUGUCCGGCUUUACUGGGUGUAAAGGGCGUGUAGCCGGGCCGGCAAGUCAGAUGUGAAAUCCCAAGGCUAAACCUUGGAACUGCAUUUGAAACUGUUGGUCUUGAGUAUCGGAGAGGCAGGCGGAAUUCCGAGUGUAGCGGUGAAAUGCGUAGAUAUUAGGAGGAAAACCAGUGGCGAAGGGGGCCUGAUGGACGACAACCGACGGUGAGGCGCGAAAGCGUGGGGAGCAAACAGGAGUAGAUACCCCAGUAGUC